GUUUUAUAAUACAUUUUUAUAGUACAGUAUUAUGCACUGAAAAUGUUAGUUAUACUAGUAACUCUUUCCCACUUUCACAGGUAAUCCAAAUGAUACAUUUGCAGCACCAGCAAUAACAUACAACUCUGAGUGCAGUACUGCAACAUUUGAAUGCAUUUUUGAAAAAUCUGGCACAGAUUCAUGUAACCUUCCUAUAAAUUGUGACCUAAGUGUCAGACCCAGUGACAUUGUGUAUGACCUACAUGAAUUUACAACAGAUUUAGUGGGAGACCUGCAGUUUUCUGACCCCUCAUCAUUUGAGACACAUUAUCCCAAAAUUUUUGAAUUGGGGCAUUCUUUGGCUGACAAGCCCCCUCAGCUUGUUGGAAAUGAAUCUGAUGUUCAGGAUGCUUCUCCUUUUGUACCCAGUGUUAGGCUAUUGCCUGAAAACAAUACAAUCAAUCAAUCAAUCAAUC
Macrobrachium nipponense is the source of this 455-nucleotide long non-coding RNA. RefSeq lists it as uncharacterized. The transcript is spliced from 4 exons. The record is from RefSeq and is a predicted model, not a curated record. NCBI's taxonomy places the organism in Eukaryota, Metazoa, Arthropoda, Malacostraca, Decapoda, Palaemonidae.